AACCAGACUCCUACGGGAGGCAGCAGUGGGGAAUAUUGCACAGUGGGGGAAACCCUGAUGCAGCGACGCCGCGUGAGCGAUGAAGUAUUUCGGUAUGUAAAGCUCUAUCAGCAGGGAAGAAAAUGACGGUACCUGACUAAGAAGCCCCGGCUAACUACGUGCCAGCAGCCGCGGUAAUACGUAGGGGGCAAGCGUUAUCCGGAUUUACUGGGUGUAAAGGGAGCGUAGACGGCUGUGCAAGCCAGAUGUGAAAGCCCGGGGCUCAACCCCGGGACUGCAUUUGGAACUGUGUGGCUGGAGUGUCGGAGAGGCAGGCGGAAUUCCUAGGGUAGCGGUGAAAUGCGUAGAUAUUAGGAGGAACACCAGUGGCGAAGGCGGACUGCUGGACGAUGACUGACGUUGAGGCUCGAAAGCGUGGGGAGCAAACAGGAUUAGAUACCCCCGUAA
RNAcentral lists this ribosomal RNA (447 nucleotides) under uncultured bacterium. RNAcentral's name for it is "partial 16S ribosomal RNA". It matches the Rfam family "Bacterial small subunit ribosomal RNA", at positions 329 to 793 of the family's 1533-position model. The record is from RNAcentral.